Molecule: ribosomal RNA, 496 nt
Filed under: uncultured bacterium
Lineage: Bacteria
Description: partial 16S ribosomal RNA
Rfam family: Bacterial small subunit ribosomal RNA
Source: RNAcentral
ACGAACGCUGGCGGCGUGCCUAAUACAUGCAAGUAGAACGCUGAAGAGAGGAGCUUGCUCUUCUUGGAUGAGUUGCGAACGGGUGAGUAACGCGUAGGUAACCUGCCUGGUAGCGGGGGAUAACUAUUGGAAACGAUAGCUGAUACCGCAUAAAAUUGAUUAUUGCAUGAUAAUUAAUUGAAAGAUGCAACUGCAUCACUACCAGAUGGACCUGCGUUGUAUUAGCUAGUUGGUGAGGUAACGGCUCACCAAGGCGACGAUACAUAGCCGACCUGAGAGGGUGAUCGGCCACACUGGGACUGAGACACGGCCCAGACUCCUACGGGAGGCAGCAGUAGGGAAUCUUCGGCAAUGGGGGGAACCCUGACCGAGCAACGCCGCGUGAGUGAAGAAGGUUUUCGGAUCGUAAAGCUCUGUUGUAAGAGAAGAACGGGUGUGAGAGUGGAAAGUUCACACUGUGACGGUAUCUUACCAGAAAGGGACGGCUAACUACGUG